This is a long non-coding RNA of Cylas formicarius (sweet potato weevil), 1461 nucleotides long. RefSeq lists it as uncharacterized. The record is from RefSeq and is a predicted model, not a curated record. The transcript has 2 exons. Lineage: Eukaryota; Metazoa; Arthropoda; Insecta; Coleoptera; Brentidae.
GUGUGUCUGUCUGCCUUCACUGUACAAUAUCAAAACUGACUUCCGUUGCAACCGCUGUGCCACUGUGAGUGGUUUUUGGUGUUAAAAUCGAUUUUUUGACCAGGCUGAAUAAUAUUCCGGAAAUACACUAAAAAGACUGAAAGAUCUCGAAAAACCAAGGAGAAAAUUAAAUUUGCAGUUAGUUGUGUUCUUAAAAAUGGAAUGAAAAUUAGGCGAGCGGCUGACAAUUUAGGCUUCAGUUUUUCAUGCAACGACAUGACAAUUACGAAUAUGAAGCUAAUGUUUCAUCUAGACGAUUUUUCACUCCAAAACAAGAGAAACUUCUUUGCGAAUACUUACAAAUGUGCAUUAAAAUGCAUUAGAGUCUAGAUACUAAUACCACCGGAAUGGAAUCACACAAAUCUGGAGGACGAGAUUGGUUGUUAGGACAACACGGUCUGCAGCAUCAUAAAUAAAACUUCAAGAGUUAUUAUUACGUAAGAACAGAAACAAUGCCUUUGAAAACACUUUAAGCUUAGCCUAUCCAAGUGGAUGGAUGACUAAAGACAAUUUUGUCUUGGUAAUGGAACAUUUCAUAAAAUACUCGGGGGCUACAUGAAAAUCAAGUCAAUCUUGAUGUCGUUUUUAUGGCAAAAUUAAAUGGUGUCCAUCUGCUCACAUUCCCACCUCACUGUAGCCAUCGACUCCAGCUUUUGGAUGUUUCUGUAUACGGAUCGUUAAAGACAUACUACUCUAAUCCUGGUAAGACGUUGAUCAUUUAUCAUCUACUGGAGCUGAUCAAGACCGCUUUCGAUAAAGCACUGUCGAAUCACACACCAAAAAUUGUUAUAAUAAGCGACAUCAAAUUAACUCCGGAAAUAAUUAGGCACUUCUCAAAAGCAAAGGACGCACACCAGGUAAGACUGAGAUAUUAUCUAAAACUCCGAUAAAGAAGAACUUGAAUAACUUGAACGUGAGAGAAUGCUGAAGAUCUCAAAACAGCAAAAUCAACAAUUGACGAAAACUUUAACUAAAAGAAGAAAACGAUCUGAGAGUGAAGAUAGCGACAUUAGCUGCUCAAGCGUGAGUUCGGGAGAAUGCAAUUUCGUCCCUGAAGAGUUGGAAAAAGAUUUUGACCCAUCUGUCAAUGAAUUGAGAACUGGGGACUACACUGUAGUCAGAUUUUUAACUGAAAGCGAUUGAAAAGUGUCGACUAUGUAGGUCUAGUCGAAGUCAUACACAGCAAUGAAACAUGUUCUGUCAAUUUUAUGAGAAGAAGAAGAAAUACCCCCACAUUCUUUUUCCUGGAAAAUGAAAAUAAAUUGGAUGACAUUCGAUAUAAAAAUAUUGGGCUGCAACUACCACCUCAAAUUUCAGUCGGAGUUACUAACCGGUCUGUGCAACAUAAUUCUUUUGAAGUUGAGCUAAUUUGUAUUAAGAAUUUGCGUUAAUUUAUGCAUUUAUUACAAUAAUUUUUAUAUU